Harmonia axyridis is the source of this 545-nucleotide long non-coding RNA. RefSeq lists it as uncharacterized. The transcript has 2 exons. Lineage: Eukaryota; Metazoa; Arthropoda; Insecta; Coleoptera; Coccinellidae. The record is from RefSeq and is a predicted model, not a curated record.
GAUAUUGGCUUCUGUAAAACACUCUUCUGCACUGAGAAGAUCAUUUUCCUGAAAAGAGCAUGAAGUUCUAUCUACUUAUAAUCAUUGGACACAUAGGAAGACCUCAUUCUUGCGAAAAUGAUUCCCAAGCUAGAUGCUGCCACCAUCAAAAAGAGGGUGUGCAGCUAUCUCAAAUGCCAAGGCAUCUUCAACCCACUAAAAUAUCAGAAAUAAUCAACAAUUUCAAAAGUACCUAUUCGAUCAGAAGGAAAAUUCGCAUUUGGAUUUAGAAUAACAAUUUCAAGCCUUAUCCCAAAUUUUAUGUUGAUCGCGUUACAAAAACCAAAGAAAAAUUAAGAAGACUAUCUGGAAAAAUUACCCAAUAUUUCCGAGACCACUAAACUGAUGGAGUUGAGAUUUUGAGUGCAGAUAUAAAACAAUUUCAAGCUGAUCAUCAGAACCAUAAAAAAAUCAAGAUUAAUGUUGGGUAAGAAAUAGCCAAUAUGUAUAUCCGUGACAGGGAUUCUGCGUGUACAAAUAUAAUUAUUAGAUUUUCUUAAGACCUG